AUUUGGCUCGAUCGGUAUCGGAUGCUUCCCACACUACGUGUUUGUACCGCGCUCUGUCGGGAAUCACGGUAGAUAAAACCGACAGAUCGAAUCUAACGUUAAUUAUUAUUAACAUUACCCUUCAGUGUUUGUGAGCCCUACGAACACUCUUCCUGGUUUGGUUCAAUCUUAACAGCCGGUGCUUCCUAUUUCUAUACGAACGCAAUACUGGCUUACGAAAUUUGGCUGAAAAAUAGUUUGCAUCUUUCGCUUAGCCGGUAUUGGGAUCCUUCAGGAAUGCUCAACCCGAUCAGUAGUAGACUUUGACCACACUGAACACUGUCUGUGUCGCUCUCUUUAGGGAAUCACAAGAAAUAACCCGGCAGGCAAUUGACGUUUCAUACUAGGGUGAGGGGUGUUGAAACGCAUGGAAGAGCAGGAAGAAACACGGACGAGCGCUGAUGAACUGCAACUGUGUGCGUGCAACAGCACCAAACGGCAUGUGACGACGUACAGUGUGUGGAUGUGUGUGUGUAAUUUUAGGCAGCGAAGAUGGAUCGAGGUUAUGUUAACAAAGUGAAAGAGUUUGAUGCAGAAGCGUCUUUGUGAUAAACAUGUAUUUUAGUUGCAUAUUUUCAGUGUUAAAGUUUGUAAUGUGAACUUAAAAGUAAUGACCAAUGGUGCUAUUCACUUGUGUGCUGUUGGCAAAUAUUGAAGCGUUGAAAUAUUGAAGCUUCCUAUGUUAGUUUGUUGUGCUUAGUGUGAAGCAAAAAUGUGUGCUAAAGAGUUAUAAAUUAGAAAUAUUUAUACGUAUCCGUCUAAUGUUCGGUUGUACCCAUCUAAUUUUCCAUAUUUUUGGGUGUCCUUAUCGUUUACCAGGAGAAAAAGAUUGGAGAUUAGAUACGUGCAGCUAUUUCGUCUCCGCAGGAAUGUUCUUCAGGAAUGUUCCAAGCUGUCUGAAGACACACAAAUCCGAUUCACCUCGUAUGCAACCAGCGGAUUUCAUGCGAAGGAUUUGGAAAGCCAUCAAAGAAGUAGGUAUGAUGGUAAGGAAACUUUGAUUCUUUUUACUUUUAGAUUUCUUAUCCUUAUUUUUGUUUACAACAACCUUGGAUCGUCGGCGAGGGCCUUAUGGGCGCGGUCAGAACAACAACCUGAUGAGCAUUUCGUUCCAGGCGGAUAUUAUCUCAAGUUUGGGAAUUGAAGAGAGUUACGGCACACUGUGAACAUCGUUGUAAACAAUCGAUGGUAACAUUUAUAUAUAGCUUAUGAAUGCAUGUGCUUAUCUAAUUAUUCAUUAAUUCGUUUAUUUAUUAAUUUGAGCAUUAGCGCUCCAUCGACGUGAACACCAGGUAAUGUUGACCAAUGAUGAUUACCAACACGAACUGGCAUUCUUUGUUGACUGAUCCGUGCGCGCUGACCGGCCACUGAAACCACCGAAGGCACUGCACUUGUUGUCGUGAGUUGUCCAACAACACGGACCGGAAAGCCGGGAGGACGAAUGGCACGAGGAACGGCAACCGGAACCACCGUCAGCACUGCACUUGUCGUCGGAAGUUGUCCAACAACACGGACUGGUACAUCUGACUGACGAAACGAUUCACACCCGCAAUGGCCGAAGGCAUUACUUGUAAAGGAAGUGGCACUUGAGACUCUUCCACAACUUCCUUUUAUACUGCAUUUCGAGCUGCCGGUGCGCAGACUUAUGAAUGAGUGGUAGUUAUGUACCCAAUCUUGGUGUUUCCGGGUUACUCGCCAUCGCGCUGGAGUCGUAUCAUACUGCACCUGUCCUGCUUCGAUUAUUGCCUACGCAAAGACAAAAUUAGAGCACGCGUUCCUAUUCCUCAUCCUCCGGCACCAUCUGCAGAAUGUGGGAAUCACUGCUCUAUAAAAACCACCGGACUACCACAAACUGGAAACAGCGGAACACCCCGUGGGUCACCGGCCAACAACAUGCAUAUCGGCUGAAACUUGGACCCAUGAUAAAUUGCAGCAAAGUUGAAGUAAGCCUGACAGUAUCUAAAGUAAUAGAAAGACAGUUUGAUAAACUGGUUAACAAUGUUUGUUAUUUCAUUUCAGCUAAUAUGCCGUGCGAAAAAGCAAAAUAAAUCUUUAAUGUUAAUGUUUAUUAAGCUAAACCGACAUUAUAUUUUUUAUCUAAAACGUUUUUGAUGUGUUUUUUCUCAUCGCGUUUAGGCGUCGUGUAUCAGAUCGCAACUGCUAAUAAUUUCGUCGUCUGAGGCGGACGGUUAUGGAGAUCAUCCCGAUCAUCGUCGUACUGUUAGCUUAUUAGCAAAAUUAGCGACAGUGUAAAAUUUGUGCUGUGAGGAUUACAGCUGGCUCUCACAACCGUCCGGAAGUCGCAGUGAUUUGGUAACAUCAAGAUCAUCACCACCGCACGAAGCGCAGCAUAUUGAAGCAAGCCCAAGCGGACAGCAACCACCUGCAGCAAACGUACGCCGAACGAAUGGACGUGGUAGACACGUUAU
This is a long non-coding RNA of Anopheles gambiae (African malaria mosquito), 2468 nucleotides long. RefSeq lists it as uncharacterized. The transcript is spliced from 3 exons. NCBI's taxonomy places the organism in Eukaryota, Metazoa, Arthropoda, Insecta, Diptera, Culicidae. The record is from RefSeq and is a predicted model, not a curated record.